RNAcentral lists this ribosomal RNA (509 nucleotides) under uncultured bacterium. RNAcentral's name for it is "bacterial SSU rRNA". It matches the Rfam family "Bacterial small subunit ribosomal RNA", at positions 28 to 526 of the family's 1533-position model. The record is from RNAcentral.
GAUGAACGCUAGCUACAGGCUUAACACAUGCAAGUCGAGGGGCAGCAUAUCGGUAGCUUGCUACUGAUGAUGGCGACCGGCGCACGGGUGAGUAACGCGCAUCCAACCUUCCCCUUAGUAGGGCAUAGCCCGGCGAAAGUCGGAUUAACACCCUAUGUUAUCCAGCGAUGGCAUCUGAAUUGGAUUAAAGGUUUACCGCUAAGGGAUGGGGAUGCGUCUGAUUAGGUAGUCGGCGGGGUAACGGCCCACCGAGCCUGCGAUCAGUAGGGGUUCUGAGAGGAAGGUCCCCCACAUUGGAACUGAGACACGGUCCAAACUCCUACGGGAGGCAGCAGUGAGGAAUAUUGGUCAAUGGGCGAGAGCCUGAACCAGCCAAGUAGCGUGCAGGAAGACGGCCCUAUGGGUUGUAAACUGCUUUUAUACAGGGAUAAAGUCGGGGACGUGUCCCCGUUUGCAGGUACUGUAUGAAUAAGGACCGGCUAAUUCCGUGCCAGCCGCCGCGGUAAUAC